Molecule: ribosomal RNA, 570 nt
Filed under: bacterium RBM-B20
Lineage: Bacteria
Description: bacterial SSU rRNA
Rfam family: Bacterial small subunit ribosomal RNA
Source: RNAcentral
GGAGCUUGCUCCUUGGGUGACGAGUGGCGGACGGGUGAGUAAUGUCUGGGAAACUGCCCGAUGGAGGGGGAUAACUACUGGAAACGGUAGCUAAUACCGCAUAACGUCGCAAGACCAAAGAGGGGGACCUUCGGGCCUCUUGCCAUCGGAUGUGCCCAGAUGGGAUUAGCUAGUAGGUGGGGUAACGGCUCACCUAGGCGACGAUCCCUAGCUGGUCUGAGAGGAUGACCAGCCACACUGGAACUGAGACACGGUCCAGACUCCUACGGGAGGCAGCAGUGGGGAAUAUUGCACAAUGGGCGCAAGCCUGAUGCAGCCAUGCCGCGUGUAUGAAGAAGGCCUUCGGGUUGUAAAGUACUUUCAGCGAGGAGGAAGGGGAUGUGGUUAAUAACCGCAUUCAUUGACGUUACUCGCAGAAGAAGCACCGGCUAACUCCGUGCCAGCAGCCGCGGUAAUACGGAGGGUGCAAGCGUUAAUCGGAAUUACUGGGCGUAAAGCGCACGCAGGCGGUCUGUCAAGUCGGAUGUGAAAUCCCCGGGCUCAACCUGGGAACUGCAUCCGAAACUGGCA